RNAcentral lists this small RNA (195 nucleotides) under Chrysemys picta bellii (western painted turtle). RNAcentral describes it as "TUC338 (ENSCPBG00000001493.1)". The record is from RNAcentral. Lineage: Eukaryota; Metazoa; Chordata; Testudines; Emydidae.
AUGACAGCUCAGGGGACCAAAGACCUGCUCCAGGGGUGUUGGAUCAGACCCCUAAAAGCUUUUCUUUAUCCAACCUGGGCACAGCAGCUUCCCCAUAUGCACCUGUGCAAGCAUCUCACCCCUGACCUGGAGGGACUACCUCCAGGGCUGAGAGGUCAGCCCAGGCUCCAAGGCCCAUUCAGUCCUUUGGCCCCU